This 80-nucleotide transfer RNA is filed under the name Clostridium paraputrificum. It matches the Rfam family "tRNA". From Rfam's summary of the family: Transfer RNA (tRNA) molecules are approximately 80 nucleotides in length. Their secondary structure includes four short double-helical elements and three loops (D, anti-codon, and T loops). The record is from Rfam by way of RNAcentral. Lineage: Bacteria; Bacillati; Bacillota; Clostridia; Eubacteriales; Clostridiaceae.
GCCGCCAUGGCGGAACUGGCAGACGCACACGACUCAAAAUCGUGCGGGAAACCAUGUGGGUUCGAUUCCCACUGGCGGCA